Molecule: small nuclear RNA, 107 nt
Filed under: Sus scrofa (pig)
Lineage: Eukaryota; Metazoa; Chordata; Mammalia; Artiodactyla; Suidae
Source: RNAcentral
GUGCUCGCUUUGGCAGCAUGUAUACUAAAACUGGAAAGAUACAGAGAAGAUUAGCACGGCCCCUGUGCAAAGAUGACAUACAAAUUUGUGAAGUGUUCCAUGUUUUA